CCUACGGGGGGCAGCAGUGGGGAAUAUUGGACAAUGGGGGCAACCCUGAUCCAGCCAUGCCGCGUGUGUGAAGAAGGCCCUCGGGUUGUAAAGCACUUUCAGUGAGGAAGAACGCCUGGUGGUUAAUACCCAUCAGGAAAGACAUCACUCACAGAAGAAGCACCGGCUAACUCCGUGCCAGCAGCCGCGGUAAUACGGAGGGUGCGAGCGUUAAUCGGAAUUACUGGGCGUAAAGCGCGCGUAGGUGGCUUGAUAAGCCGGUUGUGAAAGCCCCGGGCUCAACCUGGGAACGGCAUCCGGAACUGUCAAGCUAGAGUGCAGGAGAGGAAGGUAGAAUUCCCGGUGUAGCGGUGAAAUGCGUAGAGAUCGGGAGGAAUACCAGUGGCGAAGGCGGCCUUCUGGACUGACACUGACACUGAGGUGCGAAAGCGUGCGUAGCAAACAGGAUUAGAUACCCCGGUAGUC
Molecule: ribosomal RNA, 465 nt
Filed under: Vreelandella stevensii
Lineage: Bacteria; Pseudomonadati; Pseudomonadota; Gammaproteobacteria; Oceanospirillales; Halomonadaceae
Description: partial 16S ribosomal RNA
Rfam family: Bacterial small subunit ribosomal RNA
Source: RNAcentral